This 165-nucleotide small RNA is filed under the name Geodermatophilus obscurus. RNAcentral describes it as "c-di-AMP sequence". It matches the Rfam family "c-di-AMP riboswitch aptamer (ydaO/yuaA leader)". Rfam says of the family: This family represents a conserved RNA structure found upstream of the ydaO and yuaA genes in Bacillus subtilis and related genes in other bacteria. Lineage: Bacteria; Bacillati; Actinomycetota; Actinomycetes; Geodermatophilales; Geodermatophilaceae. The record is from RNAcentral. RNAcentral also lists the same sequence under 1 other name.
CGUCGGACGCCGCCCAACCGGGUGCCGGCAGUGAGCCGGCUCCCGGGCCGGGGACCCAACGCAGUACCUGGGGUGAAGCAGGACGGGACACCAGUCCCGGUCUGCCGGGCGAGUUCCCCGCCCGAACCCGUCAGCUAACCCGGUCGGCGGUCAAGGAGAACAGGA